UCAUCUUCGGGGGUAGAGCACUGUUUCGGCUAGGGGGUCAUCCCGACUUACCAACCCGAUGCAAACUACGAAUACCGAAGAAUGUUAUCACGGGAGACACACGGCGGGUGCUAACGUCCGUCGUGAAGAGGGAAACAACCCAGACCGCCAGCUAAGGUCCCAAAGUCAUGGUUAAGUGGGAAACGAUGUGGGAAGGCACAGACAGCCAGGAUGUUGGCUUAGAAGCAGCCAUCAUUUAAAGAAAGCGUAAUAGCUCACUGGUCGAGUCGGCCUGCGCGGAAGAUGUAACGGGGCUAAACCAUGCACCGAAGCUGCGGCAGCGACACGAUGUGUUGUUGGGUAGGGGAGCGUUCUGUAAGCCUGCGAAGGUGACCUGUGAGGGUUGCUGGAGGUAUCAGAAGUGCGAAUGCUGACAUAAGUAACGAUAAAGCGGGUGAAAAGCCCGCUCGCCGGAAGACCAAGGGUUCCUGUCCAACGUUAAUCGGGGCAGGGUGAGUCGACCCCUAAGGCGAGGCCGAAAGGCGUAGUCGAUGGGAAACAGGUUAAUAUUCCUGUACUUGGUGUUACUGCGAAGGGGGGACGGAGAAGGCUAUGUUAGCCGGGCGACGGUUGUCCCGGUUUAAGCAUGUAGGCUGGUUAUCCAGGCAAAUCCGGAUAAUCAAGGCUGAGGUGUGAUGACGAGGCACUACGGUGCUGAAGUAACAAAUGCCCUGCUUCCAGGAAAAGCCUCUAAGCAUCAGGUAACAUCAAAUCGUACCCCAAACCGACACAGGUGGUCAGGUAGAGAAUACCAAGGCGCUUGAGAGAACUCGGGUGAAGGAACUAGGCAAAAUGGUGCCGUAACUUCGGGAGAAGGCACGCUGGUGUGUAGGUGAAGUCCCUGCGGAUGGAGCUGAGACCAGUCGAAGAUACCAGCUGGCUGCAACUGUUUAUUAAAAACACAGCACUGUGCAAACACGAAAGUGGACGUAUACGGUGUGACGCCUGCCCGGUGCCGGAAGGUUAAUUGAUGGGGUUAUCCGUAAGGAGAAGCUCUUGAUCGAAGCCCCGGUAAACGGCGGCCGUAACUAUAACGGUCCUAAGGUAGCGAAAUUCCUUGUCGGGUAAGUUCCGACCUGCACGAAUGGCGUAAUGAUGGCCAGGCUGUCUCCACCCGAGACUCAGUGAAAUUGAACUCGCUGUGAAGAUGCAGUGUACCCGCGGCAAGACGGAAAGACCCCGUGAACCUUUACUAUAGCUUGACACUGAACAUUGAGCCUUGAUGUGUAGGAUAGGUGGGAGGCUUUGAAGCGUGGACGCCAGUCUGCGUGGAGCCAACCUUGAAAUACCACCCUUUAAUGUUUGAUGUUCUAACGUNCGGGGUUGCGGACAGUGUCUGGUGGGUAGUUUGACUGGGGCGGUCUCCUCCCAAAGCGUAACGGAGGAGCACGAAGGUUAGCUAAUCCUGGUCGGACAUCAGGAGGUUAGUGCAAUGGCAUAAGCUAGCUUGACUGCGAGCGUGACGGCGCGAGCAGGUGCGAAAGCAGGUCAUAGUGAUCCGGUGGUUCUGAAUGGAAGGGCCAUCGCUCAACGGAUAAAAGGUACUCCGGGGAUAACAGGCUGAUACCGCCCAAGAGUUCAUAUCGACGGCGGUGUUUGGCACCUCGAUGUCGGCUCAUCACAUCCUGGGGCUGAAGUAGGUCCCAAGGGUAUGGCUGUUCGCCAUUUAAAGUGGUACGCGAGCUGGGUUUAGAACGUCGUGAGACAGUUCGGUCCCUAUCUGCCGUGGGCGCUGGAGAAUUGAGGGGGGCUGCUCCUAGUACGAGAGGACCGGAGUGGACGCAUCACUGGUGUUCGGGUUGUCAUGCCAAUGGCACUGCCCGGUAGCUAAAUGCGGAAGAGAUAAGUGCUGAAAGCAUCUAAGCACGAAACUUGCCCCGAGAUGAGUUCUCCCUGAGACUUUAAGUCUCCUGAAGGAACGUUGAAGACGACGACGUUGAUAGGCCGGGUGUGUAAGCGCAGCGAUGCGUUGAGCUAACCGGUACUAAUGAACCGUGAGGCUUAACCUU
Molecule: ribosomal RNA, 2048 nt
Filed under: Klebsiella pneumoniae
Lineage: Bacteria; Pseudomonadati; Pseudomonadota; Gammaproteobacteria; Enterobacterales; Enterobacteriaceae
Also listed under: 1 other name
Description: 23S ribosomal RNA
Rfam family: Bacterial large subunit ribosomal RNA
Source: RNAcentral